RNAcentral lists this ribosomal RNA (370 nucleotides) under uncultured organism. Its description in RNAcentral is "bacterial SSU rRNA". It matches the Rfam family "Bacterial small subunit ribosomal RNA", at positions 526 to 896 of the family's 1533-position model. The record is from RNAcentral.
CGUAGGGUGCAAGCGUUAAUCGGAAUUACUGGGCGUAAAGCGUGCGCAGGCGGUGAUGUAAGACAGUUGUGAAAUCCCCGGGCUCAACCUGGGAACUGCAUCUGUGACUGCAUUGCUGGAGUGCGGCAGAGGGGGAUGGAAUUCCGCGUGUAGCAGUGAAAUGCGUAGAUAUGCGGAGGAACACCGAUGGCGAAGGCAAUCCCCUGGGCCUGCACUGACGCUCAUGCACGAAAGCGUGGGGAGCAAACAGGAUUAGAUACCCUGGUAGUCCACGCCCUAAACGAUGUCAACUGGUUGUUGGGUCUUCACUGACUCAGUAACGAAGCUAACGCGUGAAGUUGACCGCCUGGGGAGUACGGCCGCAAGGUUG